CCUACACCUACUCUUAUCACUUGUAAUCCAAAAAAGCUCCAUUUCUUUCUUAUACGCUAAUUCACUAUUAAAUAUAAAUGUAUAUGCAAAACAGCGAGAAAUUUGUAGAUACGUUGGAUGUUGUUGCUUUCACAUUUGCAACUCUUAGUAGUUGUUCAAAACAACAAUGUCGAGCAAAGAUGUUUGCGAUGUUUGAAUGAUUCUUGGAUUGUAUUUGGAUUCCAUCGGUACUAUGGCCUGUUGAUUCGGCACCUUUGUCAUUUUAGCAACUUUUGUUUUCUUUUCUGUGUCGAUGUAGUUCUCUAUACCAUAUUCAUGUUCAUAUCAAUGUCCAUAUCAAGAGGUCCCAUGUUCCAUUACAUAUCCCGUGUUCUUUCCUUCUUCCAGCUUUUACAUGCUAGCCUUUUAUACAAUGAUUCCUCUCAUCUCGACUCGUUUGAUGAAUGGGCGUUUAGUUUUUGCAACAACAUAUGCGUUGGGUUAUCUCAUAUCGGGAAACACUUUCUGCCACUUUUAACUUGAACNAAGUUGGAGAAAUAAAGUGAUGGCAGAUAUUGCNAG
Molecule: small RNA, 561 nt
Filed under: Schizosaccharomyces pombe (fission yeast)
Lineage: Eukaryota; Fungi; Ascomycota; Schizosaccharomycetes; Schizosaccharomycetales; Schizosaccharomycetaceae
Description: small heterochromatic RNA precursor
Source: RNAcentral